UGCAGAGGGUGCGAGCGUUAAUCGGAAUUACUGGGCGUAAAGCGUGCGUAGACGGUUACAUAAGUCAGAUGUGAAAGCCCCGGGCUCAACCUGGGAAUUGCAUUUGAGACUGUGUAGCUAGGGUGCGGAAGAGGGAAGCGGAAUUUCCGGUGUAGCGGUGAAAUGCGUAGAUAUCGGAAGGAACACCAGUGGCGAAAGCGGCUUCCUGGUCCAGCACCGACGUUCAGGCACGAAAGCGUGGGGAGCAAACAGG
This 253-nucleotide ribosomal RNA is filed under the name uncultured bacterium. RNAcentral's name for it is "partial 16S ribosomal RNA". It matches the Rfam family "Bacterial small subunit ribosomal RNA", at positions 524 to 776 of the family's 1533-position model. The record is from RNAcentral.